This 482-nucleotide ribosomal RNA is filed under the name uncultured bacterium. RNAcentral's name for it is "partial 16S ribosomal RNA". It matches the Rfam family "Bacterial small subunit ribosomal RNA", at positions 28 to 507 of the family's 1533-position model. The record is from RNAcentral.
GAUGAACGCUAGCGGCAGGCCUAAUACAUGCAAGUCGGACGGGAUUCAGGAGCUUGCUUCUGAUGAGAGUGGCGCACGGGUGCGUAACACGUAUGUAACCUACCUUUAUCAGGGGGAUAGCCUCUCGAAAGAGAGAUUAAGCCCGCAUAAAAUCACAGCACAGCAUUGUGUAAUGAUCAAAUAUUUAUAGGAUAAAGAUGGGCAUGCGGAACAUUAGCUAGAUGGCGGGGUAACGGCCCACCAUGGCGACGAUGUUUAGGGGAUCUGAGAGGAUGGCCCCCCACACUGGUACUGAGACACGGACCAGACGCCUACGGGAGGCAGCAGUAAGGAAGACUGGUCAAGGGGCGGAAGCCUGAACCAGCCAUGCCGCGUGCAGGAAGACGGCCCUACGGGUUGUAAACUGCUUUUAUACGAGAAUAAACCCAGAUACGUGUAUCUGGCUGAAUGUACUGUAAGAAUAAGGAUCGGCUAACUCCGUG